GUCUACGGCCAUACCACGUUGAAAACACCGGUUCUCGUCUGAUCACUGAAGUUAAGCAACGUCGGGCCCGGUUAGUACUUGGAUGGGUGACCGCCUGGGAAUACCGGGUGCUGUAGACU
This 119-nucleotide ribosomal RNA is filed under the name Capitella teleta. The record is from RNAcentral. Lineage: Eukaryota; Metazoa; Annelida; Polychaeta; Capitellidae.